Oreochromis niloticus (Nile tilapia) is the source of this 740-nucleotide long non-coding RNA. RefSeq lists it as uncharacterized. The transcript is spliced from 3 exons. The record is from RefSeq and is a predicted model, not a curated record. NCBI's taxonomy places the organism in Eukaryota, Metazoa, Chordata, Actinopteri, Cichliformes, Cichlidae.
UAUGUCUGUGGAAAAUCACCUGAGAAUGACAAGGUCAGGUUGUGUAGGAGGGCAGCAGGAUGUGGACAUGUCUUUAGGUGGCCGAAGGGAGGGGGGGAAAAAACACAGAGGCAAAGCUGCAUGACCUAGAUCUCCAGUGCGCUGCCACAGUAGCAGAAUUAAUUCAUUUGAUGUGUUGUUGUGAGCACUGAAGAAGGCCCGAGGCUGAGGAAAUUGUCCACUGAGGCUGCAAAUAUGGAUGACAGAAGCAGCUGAGCAGCCGUGGUUCCAUCAAUUUUGACGAGAUCCCCAACACCUUUCCAUGACAGAGCCUCCACUGUGUUAUUCAAAUGGCUGUAGACACUCACUGUUGUACCUCUCUCCUGACCUCCUAUGAACAUACUGACCAAGCCGCUCUUUCACUGUGUCCUUUGUGAUGUGCCUUCAAUGAACAACAGAUGGAUCAACUGAAUAAAUCUCUCAGGUCCUGUGUCGGGACUUUUUCUCCUGUUUCUUAAGGAGAUGACUUCAGAUGCUGUUCAUCUGCUGAAGACGGCCGGCCACUUCUUUUGUUCUCCACUUGUCUAGUUUCCUCAGAUUUUUUAAGGACAUACUGCACACCAUGCUAAGAUAUGCCAAGAUUCCAGCUAAUAGCUCUUUAGAAAUGACCUUGAUGAAGCAACAAUAUCAUUAUGUACACAUCCAACUAUGUUAUCUUUGGCAUUUUUCAUAGACUCAAAUAAAGAAAUGCAAACUUUUUA